Molecule: long non-coding RNA, 34202 nt
Filed under: Elaeis guineensis (African oil palm)
Lineage: Eukaryota; Viridiplantae; Streptophyta; Magnoliopsida; Arecales; Arecaceae
Description: long non-coding RNA (EGUI_LNC011323)
Source: RNAcentral
GAGCUCGGCAUAGCUGACAUCAUCCACGCCCAUGGCAAGCCAACCUCCCUCCUUGAACUAGCAACCAAACUAUCCAUACCCCCCACCAGAAACAACGACCUGCGCCGCCUCAUGCGCCUCUUGGUGUUCUCGGGAUUCUUCGCUCGGGAGCGAGAUGGAAACAGUCACGACCACGACGAAGAGCUGUACAUCCCCACCACCAUGUCUGCUCUCCUUGUCAAUCAGAAAGAUGUGAACGUCUCGUCCUUCGCUCUCGCAAUGCUGGACCAAAUGUUCCUACACCCAUGGUAUCACCUCAGUAGUUGGCUCAAGCAAGAUAAUCUGCCGGCCACUCCCCUUGAGGCAGCACAUGGGAAGGGUGUUUGGGAGGCCACCAGCCAAAGCCCGGCCUUCAACAGCUUGCUGAACGAGGGGAUGGCAAGCGACGCUCGGUUCGUGGCCAAAGUGGUUGUGGAGGAGUGCGGCGAGAUCUUCCGGGGCCUGAGCUCGCUGGUGGAUGUUGGUGGAGGGACGGGCACGAUGGCACGUGCCAUCGCCGAUGACUAUCCACACGUGAAGUGCACCGUACUUGACCUCCCUCAGGUGGUAGCGAGCUCGGAAGCGGGCGAGACGGUCCAGCUUGUCGCGGGAGACAUGUUUCAGUAUGUUCCUCCUGCUGAUGCGGUGCUGCUCAAGGUAUGCUCCUGCUCUAGUACUUUGUGGUGACUUGAUGUACAUAUAGUAGCUCUGUUUCAUGCCACAGUAUUUGUUAUAAACUAAAUUAUAUAUAUGCAGUAGUUCAUUGAAGAUUCAGAUCGAGGAUUAAAGGACCAUUACUUUGAUAUAGUAGCCACAUCAUCUGUUAUAAAAGAAAAAUCUAAAACAAUUUAUUAAAAGCAGAUAUUUUUAUUAAAGAUCUGAAUUUUGAUAUUAUCUGCUUGCAAACGUGAAUCCCCUCAAUUUAUCACGUUUGGAUUUGAUCCUUCAUGUUUUCGGGAAAAAUUCAAUAUACAAUUUACACUCCUAUAAGGGCGUCAGCUCUCUAAUCUAAAAAUAUUUCGGGCAUCAGUUUGCAUGUUCAAAAAAUUUGUAGCUAAGAGAAAUUUAAGUUUCCUAAGAAAAAUGUAAUAUUCUUUUAAUGGAUCUGCUGAAGGUGAUUAAAAGAACCGAUUGCAUGCUAAAUCAAGAGUGGCAUCAUUACCCCACCAAGUGAGUGCUCUUGAUUUAUGCCAAAUAAGACGCACUAAUUAGCUUGAUUACCCAGAGCAAGCUGGCAGAACUUUUUUUGGCUUGCCGAUUAACUAUCCCCACUUGCUCCACACUGAAAUAAAAUACUGGGAAGGUCCUACUACCCAUUGCAUCCAAAAAAAAAAAAAAAAAGAAAAAAGAACUAUUUUCCACUUGCAUCCAAGAGAUGUGAUGCGGCCGAUCCAUCGAUCGUUAGAUUUGUGCACUAUUGUGGAUGUUGGGCAGGUGAAAUGUGUCCUGGUAAUAACAUAAUUAUUUGACGCUCAACUACACACGUAGCUUGUUCAGCGCUGAAAGGAAAAAAGGUCGUUUGUUCUCGGCAAACAAGGUCAUGGUUUUCUUACGUGGUUACCUAACCCUCAAAUUUGAAGCUGACAUUGAUAGAUUGGCACAAAAACAAGAAAAGCAUAACAAAAAGUAAUCCCAUGUGUUUGAUAACUUCCAGCCUUACCAUAUGUACGUCUUACUUCUGAUGGUCGAUCAUUUUUUAUUGUGGGUGCUGCAUGACUGGAGCGACGAGGACUGCGUGAAGAUACUGAAACGAUGCAAGGAGGCUGUUCCAUCUGAAGAAAAGGGAGGGAAGGUGAUUAUUAUUGAAAUGGUAGUCGACUUCGACAUUAGAUCUCCUGAGUUGGCCGAAACACAGCUGCUCUUUGAUAUGCACAUAAUGGUCCAAACCACAGGAAAGCAAAGGAAUAAAUAUGAAUGGAGAAACAUUUUUAUUGAUGCAGGUUUUACCAACUACAAAAUCACAUCAGCAUUGGGAUUACGAUCGAUUAUCGAGGUUUAUCAUUGACCGGUGAAUAGAUAAGGGAAGCCAUCUAAUGGUGGCCAUAAAUUGAUCAAUUUGCUGCUCUCUUCUGGUUUAAUCUUAGAUCUUCAUUAUGUAACGUAUUAGAAGUCUUAUGAUGCUCUUAUUGGUGGCUUUCCCUAGAAUUCCAGCGAUGUUUAUGUUCGUCUUUAUUUAGUUUGGGAUAUAUACGUCAUAUUAAUUAGUUGAUUGGCUUUCUAAGAGCAGACAUAAUAGAAGGUACUUCUUGAUUUUCCUUUCUAGAGAGUUAGUUGUGCCUUACGAGCUGGAAUCCUUCUGGCCGAUAUUAGUAUGGUCUCAUCAUAUGCCAUGGAAAGAAAAAAGAAAAUAUCUUAACUAUGAAAUGACAAGCUGAAAUCAAUCAAGUGCUUUUUUUUUUUUGGUAGAAAUCAUGCGCAUUCAUCACUGGAAACUUAUUGAGGUCCGUACUAAGAAAAAAAGGCAUUGACAUAUCAGACAUUUUUAUUCUAUUAAUCUCUGCCCAGCUAUUCUUGUUAUCCUAGAGAAUCACAAGAGAGAAAUCUGUAAGCUGACUACUAAUCUUACUGACCUAAACUAAUGGCCUAAUCACCAAAUCCAAAGUGGAAUUCUUACUCGCAUAUACUAUUCUCACUUUCUCAGAGUGCUACGGUGUACUCGUUUCCAUUCACUCACUACUGCUAAAGACAACAGAAAAUGGUGUCUAUCAGCAAAGCUCAUCUACUGAUUAGAGGCUCAAGUUACUUGGGUUUUAUUAUCAUGCAUAGAAAAGGGGAAAAAAAUUGCCAUAGGAAUAUCUCCAUUGAAGAAUUAAGCUGUUGAAGAUCUGGAGAGAAGACGAAAAGGACAACCGAGAAAUAUUAUACAUAUUAUACAUAGGACAAAGCUUUGGCAUUUGGCCAAGAAAUAUUAUACAUAUUUAAUUAUGUGAAGUGGUCUAGGCCUAUUUAAGACUUGGCUAUCUCUGGAUGGACCCCAAAAUUUUUUUUUGAAAAAAAAAAAACGAAGCUGGGAUUGGGUUGGGGUGGUGCAAGCCGGCCUAGCCCACUCUAAGCUUCCACUAAGGUGCCUAUAGUACGGGCUAAGCAAUAGAUCAAAACAUUUCCUGAUUCCCCAGAUACUAAUAGUUAACUUCUAUUGUACGUUAAUUUUGUAGCUGAUCAAGGAGUCUAGUUUGUACAGGAACUAGAACACCAUUAUACAAUACUGUUUGGGUUUUUUUCAUUUUUCUCUUAAAUAAGAAUACGGUUUGAUUUGGGCUGUGUUAUGGCACAACUGACGUAUAUGUUCCGGUUUUGAUUAGGUGGGAUCACCUCAUUUCCUAUUACGUUAGAGUUUGCAACCCAUAGGAGAUGUAAGGUAGAUAUUGCACCAAGCAAGCCGAAGGGUUCAGGUUGCUGAGUUCUAUUGUUCUUUUAGGAAGAGAAGAGGGAGGGCUGGACCGCUAUCCGCACCAAAAUUAUCUAGGUUCAAAUAUUUAAGACAUCCUAUUCGAGAUUUAAAUUUAGAACUUCCGGUUACCAAGCAUGUGAAUGUGACCACUAGGAUAAACCCCAAUUCACUAAUUUCUGUUGAUGUGAGAAGCAAACUUGCUCAAUGCAACUUGAACCUGGUUGGUUAUAAUCCAUGCCUCUUGUCGACGAGCAAUGAUACCAUGACUCAUCUCAUGUAGACUGACAUGCAGAAGUGAAUAUACAGAGAUGGCAUAUUGAAUGAUUUACAGCCAGGUUUAGGAAGCAAGCAGACUUGGUUUAAUUCAAAAUAAAAUAAAAAAAAUUCAUGUCAAUAUUUCAUAUUGUGAGGGCCGACAAUAGAAAUUUUUCUUGUGAGAAGGUGGUAACUCGAGAAGAGACCCAUAUUUUUUUUUUGUUAAAAAAAAAAUUAAUGGAGGAAGCAAAAUGCUUCCCCCUAUUAUAUCAAUAUGAACACAAUUUACAGAAUUGCUGAAUUACAAUUGUUGGGGUAAAUCCUCAUCGCCCAACCAACUAACAUGCUUCUUCAUCUCUCUGUUGACUAAGGGAGCUGCACCGACUAAACUGCUAUGACUUAAUCUGACUUAGACUAGUGAGCGUCAUCUAAUCGGCUGUCCAUCGCCUACUAUCAACGACAUCUAGCCGUUUAAGGGCAGCAGACAUAAUAGAGUCAGCCCCAAGCCGAUUAGGUUCGAUAUGCUGCAUACGACGAAUGACAAAUGGCAUGGGCCGGCAAUUUACUCAAUGUUCAGCCGACUAUGCCAAUUGAUGAUGGAGUGCCACCCCUCGACAAGUCCAUUCUACCUACUUCAAUGGCAAGGGUCUCAGCCUACUAGCUGAGCACCAAAAGUGGCCGCCAUGUUAUUCUGACAAGCCAUGUCGGGCCAUAUCACUUAGAUGCCAUACCCAGGCCGGCUGGCUGCGCGCAAUGAUGUGAUGCUAUGGAUUUAUUAAUUGCGCCUACGGGAUCAUUUAUUAUGUCCCAUGCAUGGUAGCGUCCGCUGUCACAAUCACGUACGCAUCAAGAAGAAGGCACGCCCACCUUCAUAACCAUUUAAGGAUGCCCACAUGGCAUCGCAUAGCUAACAGGAGAUGAUUGACAUGAUCACCUAUCCUCUCAUCAUCCACAUUGCUUUCUCUAUAAAUAGAGGUAAGUGGGUACCCAUCCAGGUAUGCAACAUAGGCUCCAUGCUGAGACUCUGUUCCUCUUUCCAUUGAGUUCUAUUUCUGACUUGAGUGUUGGAGGAUCCUCACUGGAGAAACCUCUGACAGGAUUUGUCUUGCAGGUCUCGCUCCCUCCGAUAGCCCAGCACUUCACCAAGAUCCAGCCGCCCCGAUGUCUGUGGAAAUCAUCGCUAGUGCACACCUCCAGCUCUCGCUCUUGCCAUUGACCAUUUCUGCUGUGUCCUCUGACAGGUGAGUCCCCUCCUCAGUUUUCUACUGCACAGUAACCAGGCGCAUCUACUUGGCUCCAGGCCGACUAUCCCAUCGGAGAUAGGCUGCAACAGAUUGGCACGCCAGGUAGGGUAAGAAAAAGUAAACAAAGAUUAUUCCUCUCAAGAACCUCUAUGGCUAAGACGAGGACGCAAAAUGCCUCUGCAGGCUCCGCUCGCUUGAUGUGCCUCGAUGACUCUUGUAGAGCCGAGUGCCUCAUGGCCAGUGGUGACAGCAGAUCUCCAAUAAUUUGUUGCCCUUGUGCAGCUAGUGAAGAAGCUGACGGAGGCCAUCCAUGGUCUCCAGCAGUAGCAGUGGCUGGAGGAGAUGGUGCCAUACGGCGUGCAUUCCCAACAUAGUCGUUGGGCCCAAUCCCCAACCCGCUGUUCGACUCGACACUCCCGUCAGGUGAGUUCUUGACCCAUCUGAUGAUCACCGCAUCUCGACUCUCGAUGCGCUCCACGUUCUGACUUUGGUGAUCGCCAGUCUCCUUCCCCUUGACGAGCUCCACACCAAGGGAAGAGACUGCGGUCUCCGCCAAAAUCUUCUUCUUCUAAAGAAGACUCUAUCCUAGGCUAUUCGCGAAUCCAGAUUAGUCUCAGCGAUGGUUGGAUGAGUACGAUCGAAAGAUGAGAGAGCUAGAUCACCGCAUGAAUCAGCUCUAGACAAACCAUCGGGACCCCAUCAAUGAGUUCGGCAUUAGCAGCAGUCCGUCUUUCUCUCGACGGAUCCUUGACGAGUCGAUUCUUAGUCGGUUCAAGAUAUUGUAAAUAGAGCCAUACGAUGGCUCCACUGAUCCAGUACUCGACCACCUCGAGAGCUACAAAGCUCUCAUGCUCCUCUAAGGAGCAUCCGACGUCCUCCUUUACAUUGCCUUUUCGAUUAUCCUCUAGAAGACUGCCCAAACAUGGUACUUCGGGCUUAAACCUGGAAGCAUCCACUUGUUCGAGCAGUUCAAGCAGCUCUUCGUGGUACAUUUCGACACCAACCGGAGGGUGCCAUGCACCUCCGACAGCCUCUUCUCCAUCCGACAGCAGGAUGGAGUCUUUAUGUGAUUUUAUGGCGUGCUUCAAUACCGCCACUCUGGAGGUCAAAGAUCUCAAUGAGUCGAUGGCAAUUGCCACUAUGAAGCGGGGAUUGCAUAGCUUCAGGUUUACCUACUCUUUGGACAAGAUGUUUCUCUAGACUUAUGCCAAAUUUCUCGAGUACGAAUAGAAGUGCAUCCACACCGAGGAAGGUGCGAUUGACCGGCACCAGUCCGAGGGCAAAGGUUAGAAAAAGAAAAUGAAAAAAAAAGGAAUCUCUGUGGGAGCCAGUCGAGUCUACACUGAGAAGGAGGCUCCAUCUUCUUGACGAAAUCUGAAGCCCAAAAGUUUCGGCAACAGGUAUGACUCCUACACCUCUCUGACUACUUCUCUUGCGCAUGAAGAUAGAGGAGAAGAGCUACCUCCAAUGAUCUCAGCCCAUGAAGUCCAGGUCAGUGCUCUGUAAUCAAAGACACUACUGUCGGUUCCAUCGCGACUAUGGCCACUACACCAAACAGUGCAUUAAGCUAAAGAAUGAGUAUGUUGCUGGUCCACCGUUUCAUUCCAUCGUGAGGCACUCGGCUCCCCGAAGGUCAUCGGAAGUGCGUCACGCUACGAUGAGCAUCGAGCGAAACUAAGGAAAGCAUUUUUCGCUCUCAUCUUGACCAUUAUAACUCUUGGAAUGAUGUUUCUCCCCCCUUCUUGGCCACUAUAACUCCUGAAAAGAUGUUUCUCCCUCCUUUUAUCUUGCUCUGGCUAGUGGUCAAUCUGGAUAUCGACAUCGGCCAAACAGCUAACAGUCAAGUCUGGCCAUCAUGCAGUCUCAUCGGAUCACAUCAAGUCGCAUCAUCAUGAGAUUAUAUGCUAAGCGGUCUCUCGGGCACCGUGAUAGGACACUACAAAAUUAUUAAUUAGGCCAUAUAAGCACGUGAGACCCACCACCACGACCAUCGGCAUGUCGGACAAAAGCAUACCAGCUGACAGGACCAUUUAAAGAUACCCCCAUGCGGCUCCAUAUGAUUGAACGUUGUCGGAAUGCUCUCCUGUCUUUUCAUCCUUCAUCCUGCUCUCUCUAUAAAUACGGGUAAGAAAUGACCCCCAGGAGGUACACACACUCAAAUACUCAGAGUUCAAAACUCUGUCUACUCGUUCCUCCAUCUGUUGAGCUAAAAACUGACUUGAGCGUCGGAGAGUUCUUGCCGGAGCCAUCUCCAGCGAAGGCUUUUCUUGUAGAUUUUUUGGCUGCCAUCGGACGCCACCGGCCGACCUUUCCAUCCAACCCAAGUUGACCUUGCCUCCAUUUAAUGCACCGUGAGCCCUCGUUCUCAUUUUCGUCUCUCUCGACUGUGUCUUCUCUCCGACGAGCAGUCCUUCUCCACUAGCUUCCUGUCGUUCGACACUCAGAUGCAACGAUCCAACUAUCCCAUCGAAGACGAGCUGCAACAAAAAAUAUUUAUUUAUAUUUCAACUAUUCAUAGGCAAAUCAGUUAACAUUAAUUAAUGGUGUCCAAGCCAUGCUCAAGAAUGUGUAAGAGAAGAUGUUUCAUUUUUUUCUAUCAAUUUCUCUAAAUCUAAUAAAUUCAUCUAUAUCCUCGUUAAAAAUUACAAAAUAUUCUUUUCUUAAUCAAUUGUGAGAAAUUGGAUAUUAUUUUUUCUCUAAAAACAUCAAUUGUUCACAAGAUAAAGGCCAUGCCCUAUAUGUUUUUCUUAUUUGUUUACUUAACUUCAAAAUUUGAGGAACGCAUUGAUACAUGGGGAAAAAAAACAACAAAAAACCGGUCCCAUAUGUUUGAUAAUGUUCAAUCAUCCUCCAUGUCUUAGUUCUUAUGAUUAUUAUUUGUAGUGGGUGCUACAUGAUUGGAGUGAUGAGGGUUGUGUAAAGAUGCUAAAAUGAUGCAAGAAGACUGUUUCAUCUAAAAAAGAAUGGGGGAAGGCGAUCAUUAUUGAAAUGGUGGUCGAUUUGGAUAUUGGUUUUCCAGAGUUGAUUGAAACACGGCUGCUUUUUGACAUGUACAUUGUUGUGGCCAAUCCCCUCGUCGCCUGGUCGCCGGGAACGAACGCCUGCAAAAGAAAGUCCAUACUGACCGGAGGUGGCUCCGUCGGGGAUCCUCCGAUGGUCAAGUCAGAGAGGAGACUAGACAACAGUAAAAAGGAAACAAGGAGCUCAGCGAGAGAGAGAGAGAGGGAGAGAAAGAGGGCUUGAGAGUUUUCGAAGGGACUUCUUUAGCACUGUUGCCUUUUUCGAUUUAUAGUGGGAGGUGGUAUGGCCUCGUGGUAUGGCCUCGCCGUUGGUGAUAUAGACAACUGGAGAGUUGUCAAAUCAUCGGAGGUUGUCACGUCGUUGACGAGUUGACAGGUCCUAGGAAUUAAUUUGCGUCCUUGGCAGGACAGCGCCCCAGGUUUUCCGAUAGAGGAAUGCCUUCUGGCAUUCGUACGGCGUUUGCUUGAUAGGACUGCAGCCCAUGCCGCUCAUUCGGCGUCUAGAAGGACCUGUAGAGGUGGGACGUCAGGUAUCCAAACCGAUGGUUAGUCGGCGGUAUCCCACCCGAUAGGAAGUCGGUCACGGAGGAUCGGCUCUCAGGUAAUCAGAGGCGAUGUUGACCCGUUAGGCCGAUCCACUCUGAUCGGGCACGAUCGGUAGUCACUGUCGGUGUUGCCCACCGUCGGUCGGACGAAGUCGGUCGGGCCCGUAGUAGAGUCGGAGUUGAGGAUGGGUCGACGCUGGUGAGUCGGCAGUAGGGUCGGUCGGUAUAUCCCAACAUACAUGAUGAUCCAAACCAUGGAGAAGCAACAGAAUGAAUGUGAAUGGAAAGAAAUUUUCACUGAUGCAGAUUUUACCGGCUACAAAAUCAUACCAGCAUUAGGCCUGCGAUCGGUUACCGGGGUUUACUAUUGACCAGUAAAUAGAUAAGAAAAGUCAUCUACUGAUGGCCAUGAAUUGAUCAGUUUGCUGCUUCCUUCUAGUUUAAUUUUGAUCUUCCGUAUAUAACGCAUUAGAUGUCUUACGGUUGCACGGAUCUGACUGUUUGCUUUUGGUUGAAUUACCAUGAUGUUUGUGUUAGUCUUUUUUGAGUUUGUGAUUUGUCUGUCGUGUCAAGUUGAUUGGUUUUCUCAAAGCUGAAAUAAUAGAAGGUACUUCUUCACUUGCUGCUCUAGAGAUGUUUGCUAUGCAUUAAUGGUUGAAAUCCAUUAGGACGAUACUAAUUGGCCUUGUGAUGUGCAAUUAAAAGGAAAAAAGAAAAAGACAUCUAUCUUAAUAGUGGAUUGACAAAAUAAUUGAAAUCAAUCAUGUGUAUUUUAUCAUGGGAAACUUACAGAGGCCCACACUAUGAAAAAUACCACCAACAUCCAACACCGUUAUUCUAUUCUCUAGCAGAAAAUUUAGGUUUUUUUCUAGAAUCUUAGAGAUGGUGAGUUGAAAUAUUAUGUAUACUUCACAUAAAAAAAAAUAGACCUUAUAUUAUCUAAAAUGAAUUUAAUAUAUUUGUUCGAAUGAAUAUUAUAAAAUAUCAUUUAAUAUCUAUAAUACAAUAAUUUCUAUUAUAAAGUAAUAUUUUUUUUAAUGUAAAAAAGGUAAUUCAUUAGAAUUUGUAAAUUAUAAUAUCAUAGAGCGAUGUGGUCAUGGAUAUGACAAUUUAUGUUGACGUAGUAUGCAAAAUGACAAAUCAAGCAGUCUCUUUGGCUGAUUUCGAGGCCUGAGGUCGCUGGGUUUUUUUUUUUAAUUUAUUUUUUAUUUUCUAAAAGUAACCCCCACCCUCCAUCUUAUUUGCGAAAUUACAAACCACGUCGAAAUCGCCAGUUCGCGGCCACCUUGGCGCCGAUAUGAUUUUUCUUUUUUUUUUCGGCUCAACGGAGGGGAGGGGAGGGGAGCGUGGCCGGAGGGCCAGGGGGUGGCGUCGGGAGAGAAAUGCGGUCAGGGGGCUGGGGCGAUGUCGGAGGUACGAUGGGCAGGGGCCGCAGGAGGGAAGGCAUGGAUGGACGGUGAUGGUGCUGCAUGGGUUGGCCGUCAGUAGAGAAAAGCGAUCGGAGGGAUGGGAGGAAGAGAAUGAANNNNNNNNNNNNNNNNNNNNNNNNNNNNNNNNNNNNNNNNNNNAUAAAUAAUUUUAAAAUUAAUAAAAAAUAAAUAUAAAUUAUAUUUUUUAAAAAAUAUUUUUAAAAUUAAUAAUUUAUUAUUAAUUGAAAUCAUCACUUGAAUAUGCGGUUUUAUUGAAAUCGCUAGUUGGACCGGCGAUUUCACUGGAAUCGCCAUUUGGACCAGUAAUUUCAGUAAUAAUAUUUUAAAAUAAAUAUUAUUUUAAAAAUAAUUUAAAAAUAAAUUAUUUUUUAAAUUAUUUUUUAAAUUUUUAAAAAAAUUAUUUAUUAAAAUUAAUAAUUUAUUAUUAUUUUAAAAAUCUAUUUUAAACUCAUACAGUUUUGUGCUGAACACCCAUAAUCCCCCCUCCGAUGCCACCCAUGUCUCCUCUAUGCUCAUCUGUAUUUUUUAAAAUUAUUUUUUAAAAAAUAAUAUUUUAUUAUUAUUUAAAAAUAAUAAUAUUUUUUUAAAAUAAUUUAUUAUUUUUUAAAUAAUAAAUAAUAAUAAAUAAAUUAUUAUUUUAAAUAAUAAUUUUUAAAAUAAUAAUAAAAUAUUUUAUUACUGUGUCAAGAUACAGCGGUAAUCAUGGUUCCGGGUUAACUUUCUUUGUACUUAGUAUUUUUGUAACAUUUAUUGUACUAUUUUUUAUACACUUGAUAUUUUUAUUCUAUUUAAUAUUAUUAAAUAUUAAUUUUAUUUUAUAUUAUUUAAUUUUAAAUGAUCAGAUAUUAUGCUUUAUGGAUAUGGAUACACAUACUCGAAUGUGUCUCAGAACAUUAGGAGGAAAAAAGUUAUGCUAAAAGGACUAUAGAAAUUAUAACAUAAAGUUAUGCUAAAGUUAUUUCAAGUGAGGGACAUUUUCUCAUUUUCUUUUUAUUUUUUACUUCUUUGUUUGGAAUAUUUUUUUAAAAAAUAAUUUGGAAUGAGGAAAGUAAUUUGAAAUGAUAUUUUUUAUUUCAAAUAAAUUUAAAAAUUUUAUUUUUUUAAAUUAAAAAUUAUAAUUUUUAUUUUUUUAUUUUUAAAAUAUUUUAUUUUUUAUACUAUUUUUUUAUUUUAUUUUUUAUAUAUUUUUUAAAAAAAAUUAAUUUGAAAUGAAAAAAGUAAUUUGUGAUUGAUUAUUGAGGCUUAUCAUUGACUAGUGGAUAGAUAAGGAAAAUCAUCUAUUAGUGGCCAUGAAUUGAUCAGUUUGCUGCUUCCUUCAAGUUUAAUCUAAGAUUUUCAUUAUAUAACGGACUAGAAGUCUUAUGGUGUCCUUAUUGAUUGCUUUUUGUAGAAUUACCAUGAUGGUUGUAUGAGUCUUCGUCGAGUUUGUAAACUAUUAGCCGUGUUAAGUUGAUUGGUUUUCUCAAAGCUCAAAUAAUAAAAAGGAACUUCUUUCGCUUGCCUCUCUAAAGAUAGUUUGCUGAGCAUUAAGAGUUGGAAUCCUUUUGGACAAUCUUAAUUUGCUUUCAUUAUGUGUAAUGAAAAGAAAAUAAGAAAAAAUAUCCUAACUAUGAAAUAAUAAAUUAAAAUAACUUCGGUGCCUUUCAUCACGUGAUACUUACAAAAGCUCGCACUAAGAAAAAUACCACUGACAUCCAACAUCUUUGUUCUAUUCUCUACUGAGAGAAUCCAAGCUUUCCGUAGAACCCUAGAGAUGACAAGUUGAAAUAUUAUACACUUCACAUUAAUAAAAACUUAUAUAGUCUAAAUAAAUUUAUUAUAUUUAGUUAAAUGAUUAUUAUAAAAUGUCAUUUAAUAUUUAUAAUAGAAAUAACUAAUUGAUCAACAUGACCCUACUCAAAUUACUACAUAUUUAUUUUAUUAUGAGGCAAUCUUUUUUUAUAUAAAAAUAAAAGGGCGAUCCAUCCGAAUUUGUAAAUUAUAAUUUCAUAGAGCUAUGUGGUCAUGGAUGACAACUCAUGUUGGCAUAGCAUGCAGCGGGUACAAGUUAAAAAAACAAAUCAAGAAGAGUCUCUUUGGCUAAAUCACAAGGUUUCUAUACAACUUUUAUAUAAUUAUUUAUUAUUAUCUAUUUGCAUCCUCGCUUACAAUGUUGGAUUAAAAUAAUAUUAUUUUAUUCUCAUGAUCACUUUGAUGUCGUUAAUAUAAUAGACUGGCUGUAUGAUUGCUAACAAGUGUGAUAUAUUUUAUUUAAUGUGACAUGCCUUGAAACAUUAAAGCAUUCAUUAAGCGACACAGCUAGAUCCACGGGGUUCGCGAAAAUAUGUUUGUUAAUGUUUAGAGGCUCCAGCAAGAGCUACUGCAUUAUGUCCUUUAACAUAGCACUUUUUGUUUGUUUUUUGUCAUCGGUCCAUCCGUGACUUUUCUUUUUUUAAUUUGAGGGAAUCAAGAAGGGAGUAAGAUGCUUCCCCAAAAGUAUCAAUUUUUUUAAAAAAAAAAAAUAUAGAAAAAGAAGAAAAGAAGGAGAUAGCCGUUCAUAGCGGUGUACUCAAGUGGCCGAGUAGCGAAGGAAGAAAACAAAGGUCACAGAAAGAUCAAAGAAGAGAUGCAGCUCCAAACUUUGCGAUGGCUUUCAGUCACCUACUUUGAGCUCUCUCACAGGGCAGGAAUGAAGAGCCUUAUGGAGGACAGUGAUAGAUCGAACCAUGGUGAUGGAGGAAAAGUGAUCAUCCAUUUUAAUUUUUUCAAGCCAAAUGUAUCAAAACGUUGUCAACAAAAGUUGAUCCACUCUUUUGAACGAUGAUCGAACAUUCUUCUCCAUGUGGUCGACAAAAAUGCAGGUUAGUUGGCCAACCAUAAAUAGUAAUCCAAAUACCAUUUCUCCAUCUGCGAGUUGGGUGGCUUAGCAUGAGAAGCUUUGCCGUCUCCGGUGCCGCACGCGAAAAAUAUCGUGCAUCACGCGGGGCUAUAUCAUGUUAGAGGAAAAGCCUAUACCUAUCUAAGCUGCUUUUUUUUUUUUUAAAAAAAAGGAAAGUCAGAGCUUUAUUGUAUGCAAUAGCAAAAGUUAGAACAUUCCAAUACAAGCAAAAAGAACAGCACAACUCUUACCCAAAAAAAAAAACACAACACAACGUGAUCACCAGUGCCUCGGUAUGACCCAUGUGAAUUCCGUGCACAAGAAGACAGAACACUGCGACAUGACGGCUAGAUCUCCAAGCAUCCGAACUUCUCACUCACCCUACUGCACAGAUAUUGCUUUUACGUCGCAUAAGAUGGUGAAUCAAUCUUAAUUUGGCGCGAAAGAUAUAAACCGAGCGCACGACGCAUGGCAACCACCAUUUUUACAAUUCCAUCGGGCCACGAGUAGCAAUGGGCUGGCUAGAGCAGCAAAUGGACGUCAUAGUAGCAGCAACUUAACAAUUAGCAAUCCAUUAAAAGAGAAAUUAUUAGAUAGGAUCAUUCUAGAGCACAUAUCUGACAUUAUAAAAUGCGAUGCAUCUAUUGAUACUGUCCGUCACAUGAUGGACGACCAUCCAACAACACGUGCAAUACAUAUCGCAUAGCUUAUGCUUGAGCACCGCUGUCCAUCACAAGAUAGACGGCAUCUACGCCUGCACUGCACACCUUAGGAGAUCCAUGCUCACCAUUUACCACAUAUUUCUCCUCCUGGAAGCUCAAGCCCAUGUAUGGAGAGUGUGGGACCAAAAGUUCUCGUAAUGCUGGACCAAAUGUUCCUCAACCCAUGGUAUCACUUCGGUGGUUGGCUCAAACAAGAUAAGCUGCGGGCCACUCCCUUUGACAUAGCACAUGGAAAGGGUAUCUGAGAGGCUACCAGCCAAAAUCAAGGCUCCAACAGCUUGGUGAACGAGGGGAUGGCAAGUGAUGCUCCGUUUGUUGCCAAACUGAUUGUCAAGGAGUGCGGCAAAAUCUUCUAAGGCCUAAGGUUGCUGGUGGAAAUUGAUUAGUUGAGCUGAUAUGAGCCGUUCAAGGUUUUAUUUAAGGGUAGCAUUUUCCUCCAUCGUCCCCAUCAUGCUCAGAGAAUCUCAAAUUUUUAGAGAGAGGAUAAUAUUUAUCUUUUGAAAUGGAUGUCUCCAUACAUUCAAUCAAAGCUUCUUGAAUAGAAAUGCAGGAUGGAGAUAGAACUAAGUUUUAGUUAGUUAAAAAAUUUUAUUAUUAUUUUUAAAUUGACAAACUUUUUUCAAAGAAAUAUGACUCUUCAAAAGAGAACAUUAGUUUCUGAGACAUUAUCUCUUUUUGAAACUAUGGAGUCUCCUUGAUCAUGCCAACAAAGUCUAUAAAUAGACUCUAUAUCUAACUGUUUUAAAAAACAAUUCUAAAAACAUCAUUCUCUUAUUUCUUCUCCCUUAUGCUUUGUUUGGGACUUUUCCUUUUGAGAAUGAGAACCCACCUUGUCUCCUUAUUCCUUUUCCACUCCUUUUUCUUAUUUAGACACCUGAAGGAAGGGGGUGUUUAGUUCAUGAUCGGAAUCAAAAUCGAAAUAUAUUAGAAUGGGAAUCAAAAUGACAAUAUCUCCUAAAAUGUUUGGUUCGUGAUUGAAAUCGAACUCAGAAUAGAGAUUUGUUCCUUAUUGGGAGAGUAGGGAUUGGUUCGUAAUCAGAAUCGAUAUGAGACUCCUUUUAAUCAAAUUGUUUAGGUUUAGAUUAAAUAGAUUAGGAUCAUAAACAAAUCAAUCUAUUUAAACCAUUUAAUAUUUGGAUUGGAUUUGGAAUUCAGAUGUCUGAUACAUCUAAUCCAUUUAAUAUUUAGAUCGAAUGUGUUAGAUAAUUUAUUUAACCAAUUUAAGUCCUGUUAAACUUAUUUAAAAAUCUCCUUAACCUAUUUCUGAUUCGUGUAAUCCGAUCUAUUUAAUAUGUUUAAUUUAUUUAAUCCAUUAAAAAUUUAUUUAAUCUAUUUGACUCGUUUAGCCUAAUUUGAUCUAUUUAAUAAACAGAUUGGAUUGAAGUCUGAAUUCUUGAUCUAGAUCGAAUUUCGAUUGAUGAUUUUUUGAUUUGAUCUGAUUCAAUUGCUGCACUUAUUUUUGCAAGACUUCAAAUAGUAACAAAGGAAAACAGUGGAGCUAGGGCUGAGCAAAUAACCGAAAUCCGAAGAAACACAUCCAAUCCGACCCAAUAAACAUCGGUUUUGAUUGGUUGAAAGGUAUAAAUCAGAUGGAAUCGGAUUGGGAUUUGUAAAAACUUGGUUGUUAAUGGUCGGAUUCAGUUCUUACACUUUUAAUCCAUAUAAAAUCAAACCCAACUGAUUCAGUAUUUUAUAAACUCACUUUCAUUCUGAGAUGGCAUCAUUUAGACUUCAAUAUUUUAAUACUUUAUUUAGACUUUAUUCUAAAGGUUUCAAUUUUUUUAUAUUAAAUUGAUAAAAAUAAAUAAAUAAAAUUAAGUGGAUCAAUAUUAUAUUUUAAAUCAAUAUUGAGUCAAUAUAUAUUGAAGUCUAAAUCGAUACAACUCAUUCGAACUCACUACAAAUUGUUCACUUCGAUUUCAAAUAAUUUAUACAUGAUAAAUAAUCAAUAAUAAAUUAAUUUUUUUUUAAUUUAAUUAAAUUUAUUAUUUUUUUUUUUUCAAUUCGAAUGUAUUUGAUUUGUGUUCAACCCUAAGCGGGGCUCCUUGAAUUUAUAAUUUUCAACGGUACCUUGGAUGUGGAAGGAUCCCGUUGGAAGAUCCCUCGUGCUAUUGCACCUGGGUGCAUGGAUUUCAGGGUAGUACGAUCCUCUCUCCCCAACGCAACGAAGAAAAGGAAGCUCGGAGGUGAACAGUGACAAGUGAGAGAGCCGACAAAACGCGGUACUCGCGUGUUAAUUGCCGGCCCAAUAUUUUGUUUUGGGACGGACGAGCACGUGAUGAGGUACGAGUAUGCGCGGCAGGUGGAGCCCUGUUCAAUGAUGGAAUGAAAUCACUGUUCCAUGGUGGGCUGCGAAGAAGAGCUAUUAAAGUGUUCUCUCAUUUGCGUGAUGAGUGGGCAAAAUCAUUCCCAAAUCUAAAACAUAUCAUUACAUUUAAUUAAAUACUAACACAGUGAUGCUAAGGUGCCCAAUCAAUCCAUUGCACAGGAAAAUAUCAUUAAAUACUAACACGGUGAUGCUAAGGUGCCCAAUCAAUACAUUGCACAAGAAUUUGGCCAAAGUCAUGGAAUUGGUGUUACACCAGCCAGUCAUGUAGAAGGAUGCCAUGGCCUUAACCGCUGACGCAGCAGCGAAAAGGAGCAAGCAAAAUACACGUGCAGCUGAAGCACUACGGGUAAGGUGGCGUGUUAUCCACCGUAGGAUUUAGCUUUAGUCCAUUUGGACCUGAUCCAAGUAAUAAUUAUACGCUUUUGUGGGAGUUUCAUGAAGAAAAUAAAAUCGCAGUCGCGUGGAAAACGGGAAUACCCGAGAGCAGGGUGCAUCACCAAUUAUAUUAAAAGAUGAUGUAGAUAAUCCAAUAGGUGAUUUUUCACGUUUCCGUAUUCUUCGGCUUUUUUUUUUGGGUAAGAGUAUUCUUCGUUUUUUUAAUGAUCUCACGUGUAAGAGGUGGUGCUAAAAUUCGGAAGCUGCCCCCUCUAAAGACCUACUUAUAGUAGUAGUACCAAAAUAGCAAUUAGCAAACAAUCCAUAAGAGACUCAGGGCCUGGAAAAUUAAAGAGUGCGAGUGUGAUGGAAUCCUUAGAUGGAGAAUGCCAAUCUUUGGAGCUCCUUAGAGCUCAAGCCCAUGCAUGGAACCACACAUUUAGCUUCAUAAAGUCCAUGUCCCUCAAGUGUGCCGUGGAGCUCGGCAUAGCAGACAUCAUCCAUACCCAUGGGAAGCCAAUCUCCCUCAUUGAACUAGCCGCUAAACUAUCCAUUCCCCCCACCAAAAACAACGACCUGCGCCGCCUCAUGCGCCUCUUGGUGUUCUCGGGAUUCUUCGCUCGGAAGCGUGAUGGAAACAGUCACGACCACGACGAAGAGUUGUACAUCCCCACCACCAUGUCUGCUCUCCUUGUCAAGGAGAACGAUGCGAACGUCUCCUCCUUCGUUCUCGCAAUGCUCGACCAAACGUUGUUCAACCCAUGGUAUCACCUCAGUAGUUGGUUCAAGCAAGAUAAGGUGCCCGCCACUCCCUUUUAGGUAGCACAUGGAAGGGAUGUUUGGGAGGCCAUCAGCCGAAGCCCGGCCUUCAACAGCUUGUGCUACGAGGCGAUGGCAAGCGACUCUCGGUUCGUGGCCAAACUGGUUGUCGAGGAGUGCGGCGAGGUCUUCCGAGGCCUGAGGUCGCUGGUGGAUGUCGGUGGGGGAAAAGGCACGAUGGCCCGCGCCAUCGCGGUGGCCUAUCCACAGGUGAAGUGCACCGUCCUUGACCUGCCUCACGUGGUAGCAAGCUCGGAAGCGAGCGAGGCGGUCCAGCUUGUCGCGGGAGACAUGUUUCAGUAUGUCCCUCCUGCGGAUGCAGUGCUGCUCAAGGUAUACUCCUGGUCUACCAUGUAUGGUAGCUUAGGUGAAGAUUCAGAUGGAGGAUUGAAUUAAGGGCCAUAACUUUGAUACAGCUGCCACAUCGUAUGUUUAAAAUAAAAAUAAAAAAAGCAACCUAAAACAAUUUUAAACCACGUAUUUUUAUUAAAGAUCUGAAUUUUGAUAUAAUCUGCUUUCAAGCGUGAAUAUUCCCUCUAUUUAUCACAUUUGGAUUUGAUCCUUAGAUGGCCUUUAGAGACUCAAAUGGAAUUCACCACAAUGAUACCACAUUAUCAAUGAUCCAAAUCUCAGGGUGAUUUGAUUCCUACUAAUUUAAAAUCGCAAUAUUUGGUGGGCCAUGUUUAGUGAUUAAGGAUCUUCAUGUAUCUAUAAGUAACCUAUUUGCGAUUCUAUAAAAAAUUCAAGCUCACUGAUCAUUUAAUAUCAAAAUUAUUCUUGAUAUAUUCCAUAAAAAUUAUAUUUAUAAAUAAUAUACAAUUUAUUAUAAUAAAUAUUAAUAUUAAUUAUUAAUAUAUUUCAUAAAAAUAUAUUUAUUAACCCUAUAAAUUAUUAAUCCUACAAAGAUAUAUCAAUUUUUAUUUAGAAUUAAUAUUUUUAUUGAUGCUCAUAAUUAUAUUAUUUUUAAUACUGAUAUUUAUUUUUAUUUGAAAAAUAAUGCAAAUAGAAAUAAUAUGUCAUAUAAUUUUGUUAAAUAAAUAUAAAGUACAAUAAUAUUUUUCUACCAUAAUUUAAAAUUAUCAUUAAUAAUAUGAUUAACAAUAUAUUACAAUAAUUACAAUCACGUAGGAUCAUAAUGGUGUAUCCAAAAAUAGUGAUCUAAUCAUCUCUACCCUUAUCAUCCUUGAUCUUGUGAUGAUCAUCCCAUACCAAAGCUCCCUUAAUGGUUUCCGACAAAAUUUAAUACAAUCAACAACCUUAUAAUGAGGGCCUUGGAUCUCUAAUAUAAAAUUAUUUCUAGCAUCAGUUUUUGUGUUCAAGAAAUUUGGACCUUAGAUAAGCUAAUUAAGUUUUUUCAGAAAAUUUCAAGUCUAAUAAUCAAUCUGCUAAUAGUGAUUAAAAAACAAUAGAGAACCAAUUGCAUGCUAAAUCAUGACUUGUAUCAUUACCCCAACAAGCGAGUGCUCUAGAUUUAUGCCAGAUAAGACACCAAAGCUUAAUUACCCAAAGAUGGCAGAUUUUUUUUUUGGCUUGUCGAUUGCCAUCCCUGCUAGUAUAUAAGACGUGAAGCUGAUCCGUUGAUCAGAUCUGUGCACCGACUUGGAUGUUGGGCAGCUAGGCUGUGUCUUUGUAANNNNNNNNNNNNNNNNNNNNNNNNNNNNNNNNNNNNNNNNNNNNNNNNNNNNNNNNNNNNNNNNNNNNNNNNNNNNNNNNNNNNNNNNNNNNNNNNNNNNNNNNNNNNNNNNNNNNNNNNNNNNNNNNNNNNNNNNNNNNNNNNNNNNNNNNNNNNNNNNNNNNNNNNNNNNNNNNNNNNNNNNNNNNNNNNNNNNNNNNNNNNNNNNNNNNNNNNNNNNNNNNNNGUAUAUUUGAUAACUUCUUAUGGUCAUUAUUUGUAGUGGGUGCUACAUGAUUGGAGUGAUGAUGACUGUGUAAAGAUACUGAAAUGCUGCAAGAAGGCUAUUCCAUCCAAAGAAGAAGGGGGGAAGGUGAUUAUUAUUGACAUGGUAGUCGACUUGGAUAUUGGCUUUCCUGAGUUGGGCGAAACACAGCUACUCUUUGACCUAGAGAUGAUGGUCCAAACCACAGGUGAGGAAAGGAAUGAAUGUGAAUGGAAAAAAAUUUUCAUGGAUGCAGGUUUUACCGAUUACAAAAUCAUACCAGCAUUAGGCUUGCGAUCGAUUAUCGAGGUUUAUCAUUGACUACUGAAUAGAUAAGGAAAACCAUCUAUACUAGUGGCCAUGAAUUGAUCAGUUUGCUGCUUCCUUCCAAUUUAAUUUUAGAUCUUCAUUAUGUAUAUUGCAUUGGAUGUCUUAUGGUGUUCUUAUUGUUUGUAGUAGAAUUACUAUGAUGUUUGUAUUGGUCUUCGUUGAGUUUGUGAUUUGUCUGCCGCAUUUAAGUUGAUUGAGCUAAAAUAAUAGAAGGUACUUCUUUAGUUAUCUCUUUACAGAUGUUUGCCAUGCGUUAAUGGUUGAAAUCUUUUUAGAUAAUACUAAUCUGGACUCAUUAUGUCUAAUGAAAAGAAAAAAAGACAGAGUAAAUUACAAAACCCCCCGAGGUUUGUGUUUAUUACAGUUCGACCUGCUUGGUUUCAAAACCGACACUUACCCCCCUUGAAAUAUAAUGGUAUUAUUCAAACUAUUUCAGAAAUAUAAAAUGUCUAAUUUAUCAUUCAUUAUAAAAAAGUAUCCAUCCAAACCCCUGUACUUGCCUUGAACUACUAUGGCUUCAUAUAAGAGCAAAGAGAGGAGGGAGAUAGAGAAAAAGCCGACGAGAGAGAGAGAUGAUCUCUUAUCUUUAAUUCAGAGCUACAGAAAGUUCUUCUGAAAAGAAAAGCUCGUAGAGACACACCAGGCCACAAGAAAGAGAGAGCUUUGAAGGGCGGGUACACUCUCCUUCCCCCUCUUCUCCACUACAAUAAGCUUGGGCUGUAAGGAUAUAGGUUUGAAGGAGCAAAGAGGAAAAUGCGCGAAAAAGUUAGAAAGAGAGAAAGACUUUCAAGUGGAUUAUGAGAUCCCAAAGACCCAACAAUCUAUUUUUCUAUUUUUUUUUUCACUUUUGAUACAUCUUCCUCCCUUUCAAAAUAACCCACCUAACUACAAUGCCUGCUGCACCGAGAACCAGAUUGGCUCCACCCUAUCCACCGGCCAUGCCACCAUCACCAUCACCUCUUCCAGCGCUCACUUUUACAUCUAUGGCAUCAGUGGCCACUGCUCCGUCGGUCAGAAGCUGGCCAUCACCGUUGCCUUAAGAAAGUUAUCGCCAUCGCUGAUGAUAGCAAGGGGGGAAGGUGGCAGAGGAGGGCGCCCAUGAUGCAGACAGAGAAGAGGCUGAUGGUGGGGAAUGGUGAGGUCGCCCAUAAUGGCAGUGAUGGCGAGUGAUGGCGAGGUGGUGGAGGAGGGCACCCAUGACACAGAUGGAGAAGAGGCCGAUAGCAUGGAAGGAGAGGUGGAGAACUGUGAGGUUGCGUUUGAUGGUGGUGGUCCAGGAUAAGUGGGUGUCGACAAUGACAGCAUCGGAAUGGUGGAGGCUGAGGAGGUAGUAGUGGUCGGGGCUAGUGAGAAGAGAAGUGACAUCGAUUAUGUUGCAUUCGGAGGAGAAAGGGCGCUAAUGUUCUUGAUGCUGGGGGGGAGGCCGGAGGCAGCGGGAGAGAAGGGGUAGAGGAGGCUGAGGAGAGGGAGACCGAUAGCAAUGACACGAUCGACGAUGAGCUGUAUGAAGGUGGCAUUGGUUGGGGUGAGGAGGACGGUGGAGUCGACGCUGCUGGUGGUGAAAAGUUGGGCAAUGUUGAUCAAGAGGAUCAUGUGGCCCAUCGCAAAGAAGGGGAUCAUGUCGGCAUAGAUGGCACUGGGCCCGCAGAAGAAAUCAUAGAGGUGGAUGUGGUUGGUGGCAUGCUCGUUCCUCAUCUUGAGCAGGCUGGGCCGAGCGUAAAGGAAAAAGGAAGGGCUGGCGACGGUGCUAAGGGCGGAAAAGAUGGAAAGUGCCGAGGAGGUGAAGAAAGUUGGGAGAAUUUUUUUUUAAUAUUUUGUUCGAUGAUAUUUUGAUCUUUUUAAAAAUCUAUAAUGAUUUGGUAAUGAGAUUCCCAUUAACACUAAUGAACUGUCUAACAGCAUGAGCUAGAUUGUAGGGUUGACUAAAAUAUUAAGGGUAUAACUAUAGGUUUUGAAAACUACUGGGUAUACCUGCAUUUUCGACCUAUUCUCAGGGGGUUUUUGUAAUUUAUUCAAAGACAAAAGACAUCUUAACUAUGAAUUGACAAGUUGAAAUCAAUUAAAUGCAUUUAAUCAUGGGAAACUUAUAAAGGCCCAUGUUAAGAUAAAUGCCACCAACAUCCAACAUCAUUAUUGUAUUCUAUACCAGAAAAUUCAAGCUUUUCCUAGAAUCCUAGAGAUGAGAAGUUGAAAUAUUAUGCACUUCACAUCAAGAGAGAAAAUACAUGCCUUAGAUUGCUUAAAAUAAAUUUAAUAUAUUUGGUUAAAAGAACAUUAUGAAAUAACAUUUAAUAUUUAUAGUAUAAAUAACUAAUUAAUCAAUGGGAUGGUACUCAAAUUACUAUAUAUUUAUUUUAUUAUAAAGAAAUAUAUAUUAAAAAAAGAGGCAAUUCAGUAGAAUUUAUAAAAUAUUGAUUCGAUCCAGAAGAAAAAAGAUUUUUCUCAAUCCGUUCAGCUCGAAUCUCACUAAGAAAAAGAUAGAAGAAGAGAAUUUUUGAAUCUCUAGAUUGCUCAUCCUCCUCACCAGAUGGAGGUUCAUGAUCUUAAAAUAUUGAAGAUAGCUUCGCAAUAAGAGUUGGCACUGCUUUUGCUGAAGGAACCGUCAAUCUGAAAAUAAUCUUGAUGAUUUGGUAAUCUUCAUCUCUAGUUGUGUAAGAUGUCUCUUUAUCUCACCAUCUAUCGAGGAAGAGCUAACAGCCAUACUCAUUUUGAUCUUUCAAUAUACUUGAAGUACGGAUUGCUCUUGUCUUGAUUGCUUAUACUGCUCAUGCAUUCGGACCAUGCACUAAAAGCCGUCAACAGAUAUAGAGGACCAAUGCUCUCAUACCAACUUGAUUAAAUCAAGAAGAAGAAAGAUUUUCUUCAAUUCACUCAACUUAAUCUCACAAAAAAAAAAGAUAGAGGAAAAGAAUCUUCCAAAGUAGGGCUUAACUCUAUUUUCUUUCUUAUUUAUUAUUUUUAUUGAUUAAAAAUGAGGUACAUAUCUCAUAUUUAAAAAAUGAGAUCCGUCCUUAUACAAAUAGGUCAUAUUCUUUUGCUAGUUCUAAUGAGAUUUUUUUACCUAAAAUAUACAUGUUUGGUAGAAAUAAUUUAAAAAAAUUUAAAACUUUUUAAAAGAUAAAUCUCGACUUUUAUAUUAAUGCUACAUUCUGUCAUUUCAUCGAAUUUUUUUUGGAUUUGAAGCUACACUCAAUCAAAAUCUUAACCAAAAGAAAAUUUUUUAGGUUGACUAGCUAGUUUCAUCACCCAAAUGAAGGAAUUUCAGUCUAAUCAUUGAGACGUCACUUUUCUGGUGGGAUGGCACUACAUCAUAGAUCUAAAAAAACUAUCUAAUUAAAAAAAGAAUCAUUGAAAUUGCAUGUCGUAUGUCCAAAUUAAGAUUUUUGAAAGUGUGAGUUAUAAAUUAAUUUUUUAAUAUGAUAGAUUUUAUUUCUAGAUUAUUUAGUUCUAUUUAUAAUAAUUAAAAUAAUUUAUAUCAAAUUUAAUGGUUCUCCCAAAUUAAUUAUAAUAUUAUUGGGCUAUAUGGACAUGGGUGACAGCUGAUGUCGGAGUAGCAUGCCAAAUGACCACUCUUCUUUGGCAAAUUCCGAGGCCUGACACGAAGCUUAAUUACCCAAACCUGGCAAAACCUUUCUUGGCUUGUCAAUCAUCUAUUCUCACUCGUAUCCAAGAGAGGAAUGCGAAGCUACUCCAUUGUUCAGAUCAGCUCACUGAAUUUGAUGUUUGGCAGCUGAACUGUGAUGCUUGUAAUAACAUAACUAUGGUUUUUUUUUUAAAAUUUUAUUUUUUAUUUUUUAAAAUAUUCUUUUUUCGAUCUUAUUUNNNNNNNNNNNNNNNNNNNNNNNNNNNNNNNNNNNNNNNNNNNNNNNNNNNNNNNNNNNNNNNNNNNNNNNNNNNNNNNNNNNNNNNNNNNNNNNNNNNNNNNNNNNNNNNNNNNNNNNNNNNNNNNNNNNNNNNNNNNNNNNNNNNNNNNNNNNNNNNNNNNNNNNNNNNNNNNNNNNNNNNNNNNNNNNNNNNNNNNNNNNNNNNNNNNGUAGUAUAGUAGUAUAUAUAUAUAUAUAUAUAUAUAUAUAUAUAUAUAUAUAUAUAUAUAUUUUUGGCAAACAGAGGGUAGAGGAUGGGGGUGUUUUUAUGUUCAUACCGACGGCCGUCGGGAUCUGGGGAGAGGGGAGCGGAGGUGGUGGUCACAUAGAAAUAGAAGUAGAUGAUGGGUACGGCACGGACAAAGACGAGGUGGGGCUGCGGUGGAUACCUCAUGAGGAGAGAGAGAGGUUGUGGGAUGGGACCGUGGCAGAAUAGGUAUGGAUCCUACGGUAGUCGGUGCAAAGGACAGUGGCAGGGUGGGACCACGAGUGGCGCACUAGAGAGGGGUAGGUGUGGGUCGGCUGCCGGCAGUGGAAGGUCAGUCGGGAGAGAUAAGAGGAAGGAAAAGAAGAAAUGAGGAAAAAAAAGAAAUAAAAAUAAAUAAAAAUAAAAAUAAACUUCAAAAAAAUAAAAAUAGAAAUAAUAAUAAUAAUAAUAAUAUAUUAAUUUUAGAAAAUAAAUUAAAAAAAUUAUUAUAGUUGAUUAUUGAGAAAAUUAAUCUUUAGAAAAUAAUAGAAAUUAAUAUUUUGUUAUUAUUUUCUUAAAAUUAUUUUUUAAAAAUAAUAUUUUGUUAUUAUUUUAAAAAUAAUAAUUAAUAUAAAUAAUUAAAUAAUUAAAAAUAUUUAAAAUAAUUUUUUUGUAAUGAAAAAUAAAAUUUUAAAAUAAUGAUAAAAAUAAAUUUUUAAAAUAAUUUAAAAUUUAGUAAUAAAAAUUUAAAAUAUAUAUAUUUUUUAAAAAUAAUUUGAAAAAAAAUGAGUAGGUGGGUGCGAAGGAGCGACAGUCGGACGGAAGAGUGGUGGGUGGCACCGGAGGAGGGUGGGUGUUCGGCACGAAGCUGCGAGAGGAGAAGAAAGAAAUAAAAAAAUAAAUUUUUAAAAUAAUAAUAAAAUAGCACCACUGCCCCUUUCGGCACCACCACAGCUCCAUGCCGCCACCACUCCUCAGUGCCCCCCCACAUAUUUUUUAAAAUUAUUAUUUUAAAAUAAUAUUUUAUCAUUAUUUUCAAAAUCUAAUUAUUUUCAUUACAAAAAAUAAUUUAUUUUUAAAUAAUUUAUUUUAUUUUAUUUAUCAUUUUAUUUAUUUUUUUAUUUGUUCUAGUUUUUCUUAUUUUUAAGCAUUUUUUUCAAUAUUAUUUUUUAAAAAUAAUAUUUUAUCAUUAUUUUAAAAAUCUAUUUUUAAUUACGAAAAACCUUCUAAUUUUAAAUAUUUUUUAAUAAUUUAUUAUUAUUAUUAUUUAAUAUAUUAUUUUUAUAAUUAUUUUUUAUUAAUAAAUUAUUAAUUUUAAAAAAUAAUUCUUUUAUUUUUAUGCCCUUCCUAUCCUUUCCCUCCGCACGCCACAACCCCCCAAUCCUCGGACCCUAGUCGUCCGCGCCACCCUCUGCACCAACCUUUGGCCCUCCAGUGAACCCGCACCCUGCGCCCUCUGCAGCAUCCUCCAUCGCCACCCUCACCCACCCUAUCGUGAACAUGCAUCCCACCCCCCGUGGCCCCCGAUGCUACCCUUUGGCCACCCACACCACCGCCAGCCGCCCGCUAUCCCCGGCCACCCGCACUGCCUCCCGACCCCUCAAUGUGUACCCAAUGCGGAGGAGAAAGGAAAUUGCUGCUUGGGCUAACGAUUUCAUGAAAUCAUAGGUCCAAUUGGCAAUUUCACUGAAGUCACCAGUCCGUUCGGCGAUUUCAAUGAAAUCAUCGUUCGGCGAUUUCAGUGAAAUUGCUGGCCCAAGUGACGAUUUUUCUUAAAUCGCUGGCCCAAGUGACGAUUUUUCUUAAAUCAUCGGUCCAAGUGGCAAUUUCAUUGAUAUCGCAUGUUCAAUUGGCGAUUUCAAAAUUUGUCCAUCUCAUCUGGCCAGUUGGGCUCGAGAUGGGCUGAGUUGGUCAUAAAUUUCACGAAUGGAUUGUAGUUUUGAAAAUAAAUCAGAAGAGGUGGUAUUUUUGGAAAUAAAUAAUUAAAAAAAUUAAAAAAAAUCCCAUAACUACUGCUGUUGACACUUCCAACCCAUUUUCCCAGUUGACACUCAAUUACACCCGUGACUUGUUUGCUGAACGAAAAACCUUCUCUUGGUAAGUCGUGGAUAAGUUUAAACAAAAGAAAAUAUAAUCACCAAAAUUCUUUUGCACAGUAAACUAAAGAUAACAAAAUUAAAGGAAUCAAAUUAUCUAUUUAUAUUAAAAAUAUAUAUGAGCAUGCCAUUUAACGUUAAUGGUGUUCGAACAAUGCUUAAGAAUGUAUAAGAGAAAAUAUUCUAUUUUUUAUCAAUUUCUCUUAAGCUAAUAAAUUCGUAUCUACAAUUCCUCUUACUAUAAAUCAAAUAUUCUAUCCUCAUUCAAAAUAGCAAAAUAUCAUUUAUUAGUAUAAUUUUAGGUGAUGACGCGAUUUUAACAGUUGCGCUCGAUAUCUCUGUCAGUCCAAUCAAGAUAAAUUUAUUUGAUCAUGAGUAGACUACGAUAAAAAUAGUUCAAUAACGAUCGAAGGUGAUCAAAUUAGUAAUAUUCAACAAAAAUCAAGAUGAAAGUCAGUAUACUAUUCGAUGAUCAGAGGCCAAUUCAUUAAAAUAACUUUAUUUAAUUAUGAGUACGUAGAUAUAAAAAUUUAAUAAGAAGUAAUAAAGAUUAGAUUUUAUGAUGCUUGAUAAAAACUCGAAUAGUGUGGAUAUAUUGCCUGACUAAUAGAGUGAUUUAAUAAAAAUUAUGGAUAAUUAAAACAAAUAAUAUCUGAUCUAAUCAGGAUGGGUACCAGCAUGCUAUCCAACGACCAAAGAUCAGGAUUUCUUAACCAGGGUCGAUAAAAUGCAUUGAGUGAAGAUGAAAAUUCUAUGUGAGAGAAAUAAUUUAGAGUAAAAAAAUUAUAGAAUGAGAAAUUAGAGAGAGAAAGAAAAAAAAAAAAAGAGGGAGAAACUCUCUCCUCUUUUCUUUUCCCUUUCGCUUUUUUUUUCUCUCUUUUUUUUCUUUCUUUUCUUCCCUUUCUUCUUCCCCUUUUCUCGGCAAAACAGGGGACUACCUCUCCCUCCUUCUCGAAUCAAGGGAACCUCUGCCCACGGCGAUGGCUAUGGCCGGAGGACUGGCAAUAGAAGGCCACCAAACGGUGGCCGCCUGCUAGAAGCAAGGUGGCCGAAAAAAGGAAAUCAACAAAAACAAAACCGGCUAUCCUAGGAACAGGGGGAAGCAACAAAACAUUGUAGUUUUCGCUCAACCGAGCGAUUAUAUGGCGAUAUAUCGAUUGAUAAUGGGAGCCAAAGAGCCGAGGGGGGUGGGGAAGCAAGAUAAUCAAGAAUCUCUUAUCUUGGCUCCGGCAAGAUUUUAAGAUGAGAUUGUGAAUCGGCAUGGCAGCACUUGGAAGGAAGAAGAGUAAGAAACUCCGGCUGAUCAACGAUGAUCUUCCAAAGGGCCUUGAGGAAGAAGCCCAAGCCCUAAAUAGAUGGCUGAUUGGAGGAGAAAAGAGGCCAAAAAAAGGCCGACUCCCAUCAUAAUUUGGAGUCGGAGUCGAAGGAGAAAGGAAGACUCCGAUGUUGCUCUUUUGGGCCAUCUCCUAGUGGCUGAUUCUGCUACCUGGGCCGGUCAAAGUAACAAGCCCAAACUUCAUUUGAUCCACUGGGAUGGGUCAUUACAACUUGGCACAAAAACUUACAGUAGUUUGUUGAAGGAAAAUUUCUUUGUGGCCGUGGGCCCAUAUAGAGUGGUAACCGACAUGAAUCUUGCUCGUUGGUGAUGUGGCCUUGGGAUACAUAAGGAAUUCAUACAUAGAUUUUAUCUACCAUAUGUAAUAUAGAUAAAAUUAAUAAAAUAAUAUCAUAUCAAUAUUUUGAAUUAAAAAAUUUUAUAAUUAUCUCAAUAUGUAGGUAAAAUCAAUAAAAUAAUAUCACAUCAAUAUUUUAAAUUAAAAAAUACUGCAAUCAUCUCAAUAGCAAUAUAUAUGUUGCAAGGCAGUUAAGCAGCCAUAUAUUUGGUUGUAAUUUUUUUUAUUUAAAAUAUUAAUAGGAUAUUUUUUAUUAAUUUUAUCUAUAGUAUAUACAGUACAUUAAAUUUAUAUAAAAAUUUCGUAUGAUAUACGAUGUAAUUACUCCAUCACCUUAAACGUUAAUUUCAUUGCAUGAUUGCAUUGGGCUCCACCUGUCUGGAUGCUAUCAGCACGUCACGUAUGACAUGGUGCUGAAAGGGACUCGUGCGCCAUCCAAGGCGCGCACGUCCAAGAACAAAAUAUUUGGAUGCCCCACCUCCUCGCAACACCAGCACGGGCAGCAAGAGUCCGCACGCUUUCUCCGCCCUCGCGAGUCACCACUCGCCACCUAUUUUUCUAAUUUUUUUCUUUUCUUCGUUGUGUUUUGUGAGGGAGAGAACGGUAGCACUCGACCAUUCACCCAGUUGCGGAAGCCCUAGCUGGGGGUCUUCCAAUCAGAGUCGAUCCUAACAUGUUUUAGACCUGAAAUAAAUGAAAAAAAAAUGAGAUCUUCUCUAUUAAAAAUUAACAUACUUUAAAUAUUAAUUAUCAUUAAAAAAUUAAUCUACAUGCAAUAAUUUACUAUAGAUAUAUUCGUUAAGCAGCAUGUAAAACUCAUCAUUAAUCUAUAUAAUUAUUGUUCUUGUUAUAAUAUUGUAGAAAACCAUCCUUACACCCAAUUGGAACAUCAAUGCAAGGCCUGGGGCCUGGGGCGGUCUCUCAGUUCGACCUACCCCAAGGCCAGCCCUGCUUCCAGUAGGGUCCGUCCAAUCAAAGGUCUUGUCGGAAACUAUGAUCCAUAGUAAUAGUAAAUUAGUAGAGAAGAAAACAACACUUAGAACAAAAUAUUUGGUUGGCCCGCUUCCACACAACACCAGCACGAGUAGCACGAGUCCACACCCUUUCCCAGCCCUCGCGAGACACCGUUCACCACCUACUUUGCUAUUUUUUUUUCUUUUCUUGGUUGUGUUUUGGGAGGGAGAGAACUGUAGCACUUGACCAUUCACCCAGUUGCGGUAGCCCGAGGGGGCUUCCAACGGGGUCCGUCCAAUCCAAGGUCCUGUAGGCAACUAUAAAUCCAUAGCAAAUUAGUAGAGAAGAAAACUACAGUGAUGACACAGGUGGGUCCCGAAUACGUACGAUCCCCAUCUGCACAUGCCAUGCGUGACGUACGUGCUGAAAGCACUUGCAGGUAGGUGGAGCCCUGUACAGUUAUGCAAUAAUAAAACUAAUGUUAGAAGAUGGUCUGAGAAGAAGUUUUCGUCCCAUUUCCAUAAUAAGUAGGCAAAAUCAUUUCCAACUCUUAAAAAUUGCAUCCAAUUUAAUUAAAUACUAACAAACUGAUGUUAAGAUGCCCGUACAAUAUGUUCUAGGGAACAACAUCAUACCGUAUGGAUGAAAUAAAUUGGUGAGAUCCAUCGAAUUAGUGUUAUACAUAAAAGUUAUCAGGCAAAGAUGCAGAUUUUAUCCGCUUCAAAAUCAUACCGGCAUUAGGUUUGCGAUGAGUUAUCGAGGCUUAUCAUUGACCAGUGGAUAAAUAAGUGAAAUCAUCUACUAGCUAGUGGCCAUGAAUUGGUCACUUUCCUGCUUCUUAAUUUCAAAUUUAAUCUUAGCCCUUUAUUAUGUAACACAUCAGAUGUCCUAAUAUUCUCAUCGAUUGUUUGUAGUGAAAUUAUUAUGAUGUCUGUAGCGAUCUUUGUUGAGUUUGUAAUUUAUUUACCACGUUAGGUUGGUUGGUUUUCUCAAAAUAAAAAUAAUAAUAAAAUAUUUUUUUAUAAAAAUAAAAAAAAUUAUUUCUUCACUUGUCUCGAGAGAUAGUUUGGUACACUAUGCAUCGGGAGUUGAAACGUAUUAGUUUGAUCGAAAUAUGUGUAAUAAAAAAAAUAUUUUAACUAUAAAAUUAUUUGUUAAAAUCAAUCAUACGUGUUCAAUACAAAAAAAUUUAUAGAGAUCCGCAUCAAAAAAAAGAUGCCACUGACAUCCAACAUGUUCAGUCUAUUCUCUAUCAGAAAAAUUCAAUUUUUUUCUAAAAUCUUAUGAAUGAUAAGUUAUGGUGAUAGGACAGCUAAUAUUGACAUAGCAUGCAAAACGAUAAAUUGUUGCGAAAGUCAUAAAAUUAUUGUACGUGAUACAUGAAAGUGAUGCAGAAAGAUGCCGAAGCCUCAACCGCUGACGUCAGCAGCAAGAAGGAGCAAUCCAAGCGGACGUUCGGACUAGUGACUUAGACAGCUACAUUUUGGUAGCUUUUGCGGGAGUAAUUUUCAUAAAAAAAAUAAAUCAGUGUCACAUGGAAAAUAAGAGUACGGUUUGCCAGCAACAUGGUUCAUGGCCAAGUAUUUUUUAAGAUUAUAUGGAUAAUAAAAUGGGUGAUUUUAGAAUUUUCAUGUUUUGACCUUUUGUCUUACUUCUUUUCUUAAUAUAAUGAUUUAUUUUUAAAAAAAAGAAAAAAUUUAAUAUUCUUCUUCUUUUAUCAUCUAACUUGAACAAAAAUACUAAAAUGAUUCAAGGAGGCUGUCCCUUCCAACCAAAAGGGAGAACAGAUGAUUAUUAUUAAUAUGGUAGUCAACGUUAAUAUUGGCUGUUCCGAGUUUGCCAAAACACAGUUUUUCUUGGAUACGUACAUGAUGGUCUGUACCAUAGGGAAGUGAAUGAAUGAAUGCGAAUGAAGAAAAAUUUUCACUCAUGCAGGUUUCAGCAGCAAUAAAAUCAUACCAACAUUAGACUUGCAAUUAGUUAUUGUGGCUUAUUGUUGACUAGUGGAUAGAGAACAAUAAGUCCACACCACAAGAAAGCAAAGGUAUGCGAAUGGAGAAUAAUUUUCACUAAUGCAAGUUUUACCAACUACAAAAUUAUACCGGCAUUAGGCUUGCGAUUGGUUAUCGAGGCUUAUCAUUGACCAGUGGAUAGAUAAGGGAAGCCAUCUACUAGUACCAUGAAUUGAUUUUUUUACUUCUUCCUUCAAGUUUAAUCUUAGAUCUUCAUUACGCAACACAUCAGAUGUCCUAUAGUGUUCUUAUUGGUUGCUUUUAGUAGAAUUACUGUGAUGUUUGUAUUGGUCUUUGUUGCGGCCAAUCGCCUCGUCAUCCGAUCACCGGAAAACGUGCACCUGCAAAAACGAGAAGUCCACACUGACCGGAGGCGGCUCCGGUGGGGACUCUCCGACGGUCAAGUUAGAGAGGUGACUGGGCAACAGUGAAAUAAAGACAGAGAGCUCGAUUGAAGGAGAGAGAGGGAGAGAGGAGCGAGCAUGUGAUUUUGGAGUCGAGAAGUGGGGGGAGCGGAUCGGAUCCCUUGCACUGUUGCCUUCCCCGAUUUAUAUAGUGGAGCACGGUAUGGCGCCGUCAUUAAUGACGCAGAUAAGUGAGGAAUUGUCAACUCACUGUAGAUUGUCAGAGUCGCCGUGAAAGUGUCAUGUCGCCGUGGGGCUGUCAAAUCAAUAGGGUUGACAAUGUCCUCGGCGGGACAAUACCCCUAGGUGGCCGUGCCGCAUGUUGCUGUCAGGACUGACAGGGUCUGACGGCUGUACGGUGAUCAGAGGAGUCGACCGACCCUAGGUCGGUAACCAGCUGAGUGACAUCGGGCUCCUCCGUUGGUCGGCGAGUUUUAUGUGAGUAGGCCAUCAGACCUUCCGGUUCAGUCGGUCGAAAAAGGUACGCCCGAUAUAUCCUCAGUCGGUCGUGAGCCGAUGAUUGGCCGGCGAUGGCGUCAGUCGGCCGGUCCGACUGUCAAUCGGUCGGUCGGUCCCUCCGGCUGUAAGUCGGUCGGUCGGUUCCUCCGGCCAUCGGUCGGUCGGUCGGUGGGUAUUCCCCAACAGUCUUCAUUGAGUUUGUGAUGUGUUUGUCAUGUUAAGUUAGUUGGCUUUCUCAAAACUAAAAGAAUAAAAAGACUACUUCACUUGCCUCUUUAGAGAUAAUUUGCAAUGUACCAAGAGUUUGAAUCCUUUUAGACAAUGUUAAUCUGGUCGAAUUAUGUGUAACAAAAAAAAUAUAUAUAUAUUUUAACUGUGAAAUGAUAGAUUGAAAUCAAUAACACGUGUUUCAAUAUGAGAAACUUACAGAGACCUACGGUGAGAAUAAUGCCAAUGACGUCCAACCUCUUUAUUCUAUUCCCUAUCAGAAAAAUUCAAACUUUUCCUAGAACCCUAUAAAUGAUAAGUUGAAAUACUAUGUACUUCACAUUAAAAAAAAAAAAUACAAGCCUUUUAUUAUCUAAAGUAAAUUCAUUAAUAUAUUUAGUUAAAUAAGUAUUAUAAGAUAUCAUUUGAUAUUAAUAAUACAAUUAAAUAACUAAUUAAUCAACGGGAUCCUACUCAAAUUACUACAUAUUUAUUUUAUUAUAAGUAAUAUAUAUUUUAUGUAAAAGAAAAGAAUAAUUCAUCAGAAUUUGUAAAUUAUAUUUUCAUAGAGCUCUGUGGUGAUAGGGACGGCUUAUGUUGACUUAGGAUGCAAAAUGACAAAUCUAGAAAAGUCUCUUUAGCUAAAUCCGAGAACGCAGGUCGCUGGGAUGUCGGCAAAAUGAAAUUAACGUUUCAUUGCAUAAUAAGUGGGUAAAAUCGUUGGCGACAAAGUGAUUACUAAGGUGCCCAAUCAAUACAUUGCAUAGAAAUACAUCUUGUCAUGGGUGUCCACUUCGUGAUGCCCACGGGUGAAAUGCUGGACCACCUUUUCCUUCAAUGGGACUUCUCAAAAGCAUUCUGGACAAAUAGUCUAUUCAAUUUCAAUGUCCCAACAUUUCUUACCUCAUUCUCUGGAUUAUGGGAUUUUUAGAGACAUCUUCAACCCAUUGAAAACUGUCAACCGGCAUUUGAAUUCUUAAUUACCUCAGCUGUCUGGUGCCUCUGGAAAAAACGAAACGGCAAGAUCUUACGUUUUGAAGCAACCAUGCCCCCCGGAAUGGCAAGACAAACAAUCCUCAAUUUCCAAAAUUGGGUUCCGGCCGAUUGUCUCCCACCCAAACAGCUAGCAAUUGGUUGCCUAACUUCCCUAAGAAAGGCAGCUGCUAGACUCGCAAUCUUAUUGUGUUUGAAGGUUGUCUUCGAAACCUCAUCCUGCAGCUGCUAGACUCCACCUUUAGUGUUUUGUACCACUCCCCGCUCACGGGCCCGCUCUUUCUCUGAUUUGACACCCCCAUACAAAGCCGGGUUUCUAAUACCCGUAACUCAUUUCUUCCUCGCAUGUGACUGGAUGCUACAUCCGGUCUGUCACAUCAUGUACUAAGUAAAAAGAACAUAGCACAAUAAAAUAAAUCCUUGAGGGAAGUCCCUUGCUUCCUCCUGAAUUCUCAAAAAAAAAAAAAAAAAAAACAUCUUGUCAUGGAGACCGGAGGAAUUGGUGAAAGUCAUGGAAUUAUUAUACGUGAUACAUGAAAGUCAUGCAGAAGAAUACUGUAGCUUUAACCGCUGACCUCAGCAGCAAGAAGGAGCAACCCAAAUGGCCGUUCGGCCUCUAAUUCCACCACCAUGGAUGUGCAAUCUUGGGGUAUCGGCAGCUCCGUGAGCUCGGCUGUAUCUACUUCUCGGCUUGUGUUUUGGAUACCCUCAUCUUGCCCCAUGGUGAAAAUUAAUUUUGAUUCUUCCUUGUCCUCCAUAGCUACUGGCCUUGGCUACCUCAUUAGAGAUCACCACGGAAGUGAUAUAUUUGCUGGGUCUUCCCGAUCUUAUGCAACCUCUGCUUUAGAGGCUGAGCUGCAGGCGGCAUGGAGAAGCCUCUCAAUUUCUACUCACCAGCUUGGAUUCAAACGUAUCUGUUUGGAUGGGGAUUCUUUUGUUGUUGUUCAGUGGAUUCAUCAGGUUGCUAGAACUGAAUAUUCCUUGGCUCCCCUUCACCUGGUUCAUUCUCUUCUCCUGGACAUCUAGAACAGUAUAUCCUCCUUAGAUUAUUUCUCUGUUUCCCAUGUGCCGCGGGAAGGUAAUCAACAGGCGGAUGGGUUAGCUCAGCUGCUUGUUAAUUCAUCCUUCUGUUCUACUUCAUCUCUCUCUCCCUCCGUUUGUAAUCUUGUUCAGGCUGACAUGUUGGUGUGCAUUACCCUCAGCUGUAAUAUCAUCUAUUUUCUUUGUUUGGACUUUUGCCCCCUAUGUAAAAAAAUAAAAAACAGAGAGAGAGAAAGAGAGAGAGAGAAGAAGAAGGAGGAGGAAGACGUUCCGCCAACUGAUUUAGAUCGCUACAUAUUGGUAGCUUUUUUGCGGGAGUAACUUUCAUAAAAAAUACAAAUCGCUGUCAUAUGGAAAACAAGAGUACGGUUUGCCGGCAUCAUGGUUCAUGGCCACGUAUUUUCCUAGACGAUGUGGAUAAUAAAAUGGGUGGCUUUAAGGUUUCCACGUUGUUCUAAUCUUAUCAUCUAACUUGUAACAAGUGCCGCUAAAAUUCGAAAACUUUAGCGAGUAAAGACCUAUUUAUAUUAGGAGCAAAAUAGCAAUUAGCAUUCCAUAAGAGACUCAGGGCCUGGAAAAUUAAAGAGUGCAUGCGUGAUGGAAUCCUUGGACGGAGAAUGCCAAUCUUUGGAGCUCCUGAAAGCUCAAGCCCAUGCAUGGAACCACAUAUUUAGCUUCAUAAAGUCCAUGUCCCUCAAGUGUGCCGUGGAGCUCGGCAUAGCAGACAUCAUCCAUACCCAUGACAAGCCAAUCUCCCUCACUGAACUAGCCGCUAAACUAUCCAUUCCCCCCACCAAAAACAACGACCUGCGCCGCCUCAUGCGCCUCUUGGUGUUCUCGGGAUUCUUCGCUCGGAAGCGUGAUGGAAACAGUCACGACCACGACGAAGAGUUGUACAUCCCCACCACCAUGUCUGCUCUCCUUGUCAAGGAGAACGAUGCGAACGUCUCCUCCUUCGUUCUCGCAAUUCUCGACCAAACGUUGUUCAACCCAUGGUAUCACCUCAGUAGUUGGUUCAAGCAAGAUAAGGUACCCGCCACUCCCUUUGAGGUAGCACAUGGAAGGGAUGUUUGGGAGGCCAUCAGCCGAAGCCCGGCCUUC